AAACCAACAGGGAUUGCCUCAGUAACGGCGAGUGAAGCGGCAACAGCUCAAAUUUGAAAUCUGGCCUCCACGGUCCGAGUUGUAAUUUGUAGAGGAUGUUUUGGGUACCGCCGCGGGUUAAUUUCCUUGGAACAGGAUGCCAAAGAGGGUGAGAGCCCCGUCUUGGCUCGCGGUAGGGCUCGUGUAAAACUCCUUCGACGAGUCGACUAGUUUGGGAAUGCUGGUCAAAAUGGGUGGUAAAUUUCAUCUAAAGCUAAAUAUUGGCCAGAGACCGAUAGCGCACAAGUAGAGUGAUCGAAAGAUGAAAAGCACUUUGAAAAGAGAGUUAAACAGUAUGUGAAAUUGUUGAAAGGGAAGCGCAGGCAACCAGACUCGUGCGCGGGGUUCCCCCUUGCUUCUGCUUGGGUCACUUCCCCGUGUCCGGGCCAUCAUCAGUUUCGGGGGCCGGUCAAAGGCUCUGGGAAUGUAUCCUCGCCUUCGGGGGAGGACUUAUAGCCCAGGGUGUCAUGCGGCCACCCGGGACUGAGGAACGCGCUUCGGCGAGGAUGAUGGCGUAAUGGUUGUCUGCGAC
This 571-nucleotide ribosomal RNA is filed under the name Trichomeriaceae sp. HKU40. RNAcentral describes it as "eukaryotic LSU rRNA". It matches the Rfam family "Eukaryotic large subunit ribosomal RNA", at positions 62 to 648 of the family's 3401-position model. Lineage: Eukaryota; Fungi; Ascomycota; Eurotiomycetes; Chaetothyriales; Trichomeriaceae. The record is from RNAcentral.